This 907-nucleotide ribosomal RNA is filed under the name uncultured bacterium. RNAcentral's name for it is "bacterial SSU rRNA". It matches the Rfam family "Bacterial small subunit ribosomal RNA", at positions 8 to 918 of the family's 1533-position model. The record is from RNAcentral.
AGAGUUUGAUUAUGGCUCAGGACGAACGCUGGCGGCGUGCUAACACAUGCAAGUCGAGCGGGAACCUCAGGAGGGGUAACCCUUCUGAGGGGAGAGCGGCGAACGGGUGAGUAACACGUGGGCAACCUGCCCCGGACACCGGGAUAACCCAGGGAAACUGAGCUAAUACCGGAUACUCCGGCGCGAUCGCAUGGUCGUGCCGGGAAAGCUCCGACGGUCCGGGAUGGGCCCGCGGCCUAUCAGCUUGUUGGUGGGGUAACGGCCCACCAAGGCGACGACGGGUAGCUGGUCUGAGAGGACGGCCAGCCACACUGGGACUGAGACACGGCCCAGACUCCUACGGGAGGCAGCAGUGGGGGAUCUUGCGCUAAUGCGCGAAAGCGUGACGCAGCGACGCCGCGUGGGGGAUGAAGGCCCUCGGGUUGUAAACCCCUUUCGGCAGGGACGAAGGGAAACUGACGGUACCUGCAGAAGAAGUCCCGGCUAACUACGUGCCAGCAGCCGCGGUAACACGUAGGGGACGAGCGUUGUCCGGAUUCAUUGGGCGUAAAGCGCGCGUAGGCGGCUCGGAAAGUCGGUCGUGAAAUGCCGGGGCUCAACCCCGGGACUGCGUCCGAUACUUCCGGGCUGGAGGUAGGUAGGGGAGAUCGGAAUUCCUGGUGUAGCGGUGAAAUGCGCAGAUAUCAGGAGGAACACCGGUGGCGAAGGCGGAUCUCUGGGCCUUACCUGACGCUGAGGCGCGAAAGCUAGGGGAGCGAACAGGAUUAGAUACCCUGGUAGUCCUAGCCGUAAACGUUGGGCGCUAGGUGUGGGCGGACAUCGACCCCGUCCGUGCCGAAGCUAACGCAUUAAGCACCCCGCCUGGGGAGUACGGCCGCAAGGCUAAAACUCAAAUGAAUUGACGGGG